GGCUCUUUGGUGUAUAUUAUAUAAAGAGUCGGACCUGCCCAGUGACGUAAUGUUAAACGGCCGCGGUACCCUAACCGUGCAAAGGUAGCAUAAUCAUUUGCCUCUUAAUUAGAGGCUAGUAUGAAUGGUUUGACGAGAGCCUAACUGUCUCUUAUUAAAAUAUUUAAAAAUUAACUUUUAGGUGAAGAGGCCUAAAUUUAACUAAGGGACAAGAAGACCCUAUUGAGCUUUAGUGAAACUGUCGAUAAAUUAGGUAAAUAUUAAGAUAUCUAUAGAUAUUGUACUUGUAUAUAACGAUUAUUCAGUUAAUCUUUAGUUGGGGCGACUAAGGAACUAAUGUAGCUUCCUUUAUAUGAAUUAGUGAAGUGUAGAAUUAAAAAUACAUACAUGCAAGUUAGUGAGUGAUCCGGCAAUAUGUCGAUUAAAGGAAAAAGUUACCAUAGGGAUAACAGCGUAAUUCUUCUGGAGAGAUCUAAUCGAAGGAAGAGUUUGCGACCUCGAUGUUGGACUAAGAUAUCCUAAGGGCGCAGAAGCUCUUAAUGGUUGGUC
Molecule: ribosomal RNA, 549 nt
Filed under: Fossarina petterdi
Lineage: Eukaryota; Metazoa; Mollusca; Gastropoda; Trochida; Trochidae
Description: partial 16S ribosomal RNA
Rfam family: Bacterial large subunit ribosomal RNA
Source: RNAcentral